UGAAUCCAGCGCGGCUCCUUCGUGCCUCCGCGCAUCGACACAGCUAGUUAGUGUUAAUACCACCUGUGUGGUGUUUGGAAAACAAGUAUGUGAACAUAUCCUAAGUAAUGCAUUCACCGGCUCCGUUAAUGAAUGCAUUAUGACCUCAUUAGCAUAACGUCCGCGGUUCAGUUGCAUGAUGGAGAAGGUGGCAGGAGCACAAACACCGAGCACAACUGUGAACUCCAUCUCGUACCGCGGAGAUUCAAGGGCGCAAGGACUGUUGCAUCGUCUUGUUGCUAUGCAACGGUCUAAUUAGUCUUAGGUAGCUGACCCGAAGAAUGAAACUGGGGUGUGAUGUUGGAAAACCAAGGGAUCAGUGUAUUGUGGAUACAUGUUGUUUUUUCGCUGGCAGAAAAUAAUAUGAAAGUUUUCUCAUCCAAACACGGUGGCCGGUGCAGAGAUGGACACCAACGUGCUACAGAGUAUCCAGGACUUCAUACCAAUCAACGUUAUAGCUGUGCUAAAUGCUUCUCAGCUCCAGCUCAACGCACGCAGCGUACACGGGAGUGGUGGAUGUCCUCAUUCUGAUCUCCGGCAGACAAAGAAACAAGAUUUUCCCUCCAAA
RNAcentral lists this long non-coding RNA (607 nucleotides) under Scophthalmus maximus (turbot). RNAcentral describes it as "lncRNA (ENSSMAG00000028946.1)". The record is from RNAcentral. Lineage: Eukaryota; Metazoa; Chordata; Actinopteri; Pleuronectiformes; Scophthalmidae.